Molecule: ribosomal RNA, 253 nt
Filed under: uncultured bacterium
Lineage: Bacteria
Description: partial 16S ribosomal RNA
Rfam family: Bacterial small subunit ribosomal RNA
Source: RNAcentral
UACAGAGGGUGCGAGCGUUAAUCGGAAUUACUGGGCGUAAAGCGCACGUAGGCGGCUUGGUAUGUCGGGUGUGAAAUCCCCGGGCUCAACCUGGGAACUGCAUCCGAAACUGCCUUGCUAGAGUAUGGGAGAGGGAAGUGGAAUUUCCGGUGUAGCGGUGAAAUGCGUAGAUAUCGGAAGGAACAUCAGUGGCGAAGGCGACACACUGGGUCUCAACUGACGCUGAGGCACGAAAGCCAGGGGAGCAAACGGG